Molecule: ribosomal RNA, 516 nt
Filed under: Duganella qianjiadongensis
Lineage: Bacteria; Pseudomonadati; Pseudomonadota; Betaproteobacteria; Burkholderiales; Oxalobacteraceae
Description: partial 23S ribosomal RNA
Rfam family: Bacterial large subunit ribosomal RNA
Source: RNAcentral
CCAGUCACCGAAGCUGCGGAUAUCCGUAAGGAUAUGGUAGGAGAGCGUUCUGUAAGCCUGCGAAGGUGUCUUGUAAAGGAUGCUGGAGGUAUCAGAAGUGCGAAUGCUGACAUGAGUAGCGAUAAUGAGGGUGAAAAGCCCUCACGCCGUAAGCCCAAGGUUUCCUGUUCAACGUUCAUCGGAGCAGGGUGAGUCGGCCCCUAAGGCGAGGCAGAGAUGCGUAGCUGAUGGGAAGCAGGUUAAUAUUCCUGCACCGUCGUAUGAUGCGAUGGGGGGACGGAUCGCGGAAGGUUGUCUGACUGUUGGAAUAGUCAGUUUCUGAUUCAUAGAAGGUGCUUAGGCAAAUCCGGGCACGUAAUUCAAGGGAUUGGGACGAGUGAACUUGUUCACGAAGCAAUCGGAAGUGGUUCCAAGAAAAGCCUCUAAGCUUCAGUCAUACGAGACCGUACCGCAAACCGACACAGGUGGGCGAGAUGAGUAUUCUAAGGCGCUUGAGAGAACUCGGGAGAAGGAACU